CACGUAGGGCGCAAGCGUUGUCCGGAAUUAUUGGGCGUAAAGAGCUCGUAGGUGGUUUGUUACGUCCGCUGUGAAAUCCUAGGGCUUAACCCUGGGCUUGCAGUGGAUACGGGCAGACUAGAGGUAGGUAGGGGAGAAUGGAAUUCCUGGUGUAGCGGUGAAAUGCGCAGAUAUCAGGAGGAACACCGAUGGCGAAGGCAGGUCUCUGGGCCACUACUGACGCUGAGAAGCGAAAGCAUGGGGAGCGAACAGG
Molecule: ribosomal RNA, 253 nt
Filed under: uncultured bacterium
Lineage: Bacteria
Description: partial 16S ribosomal RNA
Rfam family: Bacterial small subunit ribosomal RNA
Source: RNAcentral